UUCCAUCUCAUGGGAUUUUUUUCCUUUUUCUUUUUCUUUUUUUCCUUUUUCUUUUCCCUCCCCUCCCCUUGCUCCCAAAGGAGUAGCAUGAGUAGAGGGGAGCAACCAGCAACCCUCUCUCCCUCCUUUGCUGUCUUCCCUCCUUGGGAGAAGUGCAGAGCAGAUUGCAGAGCAGAUUGAACUUGCUGAGACCGCCCUCCAGGAGCAAACACUUUGUAAAGUUCCAUCUGCCCUCUGGCUGCUGUGCAGGAUAGAGUUAUUCUGAAGUCCAAGCUGCCUGGGCCUGGAUCCACUGCUGCCCUCUGACCACAGUGCAGUUAAAGACACCUGUUCACUGCCUUCUGGUUUUUCUGCUUUUUGCUUGGUUUGUUUUUUUGUAAAUUUGCAUGUUCUCUGGUUAUAACUGGGCCCCACAGCCCUACACUCUGAUGCUUGGCCACAGCCACUGCAGCGCUCUUUCCUGUGAAAGCAGAAGUGCCCCGAGCCUGGGCCAUGUGGCAUUUAUUCCAUAAAUAUUCACUUGCUUAUUGGUUCUUUUAGUGAGUAUUUAUUUAACACCGACUGUGUGCCAGACACUUUCAGGGGCUGAGGACACAGCACUGAACAAGACUCCACACCUUUCCUCGUGGAGAUUAUCUCGUGGAGCCAGACAACAAAGGAAGUAAAAUACGUCACAUGUCAGAUGGUGAUCUUACUCAGAACUUCCUGGCUUCAGCAAGACUGGCCUGUGACGUGAGUGAAGAGAAAUGGAUGAGACGCUCCCUGAUAGAAACAAGGCUCUCUGGACACGGUCUCUCCAGUUGGACUGAGCCACACGGGGUUUUGAGUAUGCUUUUUAUCUCACCAUGAAAGAUGUUUGAGAAAUGCUGAGCAAGGCUGGCCAUUGCAUUUGCAGCAUAUCAGGGGCUGGUUACGACAGACGCUGGGUAGGAGAAAGAUAUGCGGACCUGGACACCAUCAGUGAUCCUCUCUAGCCUGCAGAUAGGGAAUAGAACACUAUUUUACUACUCGAAGUAUGUCCAUGGACCAGGAGCUGGAAGAAGUGUAGACUCUCAGACCCCACCCUGGAUCUGCUGAAGCAGCUUUUGCCCUUUUGACAAUUCCCAGCUCUGAAAACCUUUAUUAGGUCUUUCCUUCCCUUUGGCUGUUGAAACAUGACUCCUGGGGGCCGGUGGGAAAAAGAGUUGAAGGUGGGACUGUCCUCUCAUUAGCUGUCCAGGAGGAUGAAUAAAAAAAUAGAAGUUCCUGGCUUUUCCACUGAGUCAGCAAGAAUGCUUUUGAUUGUAAGUAGCAGAAGACCCAACUUAAAGUGACUUAACCAGUAAUUUAAUUUUCUCACAUAGUAUUAGAAUUGGUUAAUUGGGCUCCAGGUCCUCUUUUUCAUACCUCUUGGCUUUUCCCUCAUGGGCACAAAAUGGCUGCAGCAGCAACAAGCAUCGUGUCAUCACAUGAAAAUGUCCAAAGGCAGAAAGGAUAGUUCCUUUCCAUAAGCCUCUUUUUAUUAGGAAGGAACCAUUUCUCUGGGGUCUCCAGCAGAUUUCCUCCUAUAGGCUAGUUCUGUGUUACAUCCCUGAGCCUGUGGCUGCUCAGGGAUGUAAGCAGCAUUUGCCAUGCUGUCAGCAAAGGAGAGGGUGGUGGGAGUGCACCGAGGAGGCAGUCAUUGUCUGCCUCAUCUUUUCUGGCCAACCGACUUGACAAAGAUCUGAUUGGAAAGGAAGAUACGGGUGGUAUUUUGUUCACCUGUGUAUAUGUAGGGAGUGCUCCCUCUUCAUGAUUAUAAUCCAUUACCCUUGAUUUCCAAGGGCCUUUGGAAGGGAUAACGACUGGUAAAGGUGAAGUUGAGCCUGUGGAUUGUGUGGUGUAAGAGCAAGGGGCUGAGGCCCAUGCAGAGAGAGCAGAUGGGGGAGGACCAGGUGGAGGCUGGGAGUGAGGCUGAGGCUAACGGGAGGAUAAGGGCUGCAGGCUGGGCAGGUAGUGGUAGGUGGGACUUCUGGCCCAAGAUGCUCUGAUAUAUGGUGUGCUGGACCCUUGGUGAGCAUCAGGGCAAUUUGUGAUACAUUCCGGUGAUAGCUUGCAGCUCCAGUGACAUUUUAGAUAUCUGUAGGAUGUUGCAUCUCAGAGAAUUAACCAGAAGGUAUGUAAUUCUCUUUAUUCUCGGACUUACUGCCUAGGGGUGGAUGGUCCAGGUACCAAUAACAAGCUCCUGACUUCUGAAGUUGGAUUUGCUCUCUUGGGAUUAAGGAUCAGUAGAAUGGAUGCCAUUUUAGUUUAUAAACCUCUUUUGGUAGCCCUGUAGCAUGCAACUAAUUUGUUCAUGUAAUUUGCUCAAGUUUAGUCAAGUUUUGGAGUCUAUGUCCUUAUAUGGGUUAAUAGGUAAGUGCUUUAAUGAGAGCCCAAGCAUUUAGGAAUGAAGGGUUGGAAGAAUUCAAUGAGAUGUGCAGGCAAGGCUGCCUAGCAUAUUUCCUGGCAUACAAUGGGCACUCAAUAAAUAUUGCCUUCCUUCCCUCGUCUGGCUUCCUUCCUAAUUACUAUUUCCCCCAAUUCUCAGUAAAACCAUCUCACCAUCAUUUUCGGAGCAUUUCCCAGCCUUACCCCAACAACAGGAAGAGUAGAACCAGUAUUCCAAAAUAAAGUCACGAGAGAUGGAAAGAAGGGAAUGAUUUUUUAUCAUGCACUGAACGUCUGCAAUACAUACGCUAGGGAUUCUAAGUUUCGUUUAGGUUGACUGAUAACGGGCCUAGAGAGGGAGAAGAUCCAGAAUGCUUGGAGAAGGAUUAGCCCUACAGAUUCAACUUCGGAAUUCCCAGGAUAUACACAGAGCUCACUGGAACAUCUGACUAGUGCAGAGGUGAAAAUUAAGGGCAUCACGCUGAUGUCAGGCGACGGGAGGCAGGUGAAGGACAGCCGGACGGGAAGGGCUGCAGAGACUUGGGCGAGCGAGCCUCCCUCAGCAGGUCAGCGACAGACCUGCUCGCCAAAGGUCUGUUUGGAACCACAAGCCCAAUUAAUUUCCUGCUUCUCAUCCCUGGCAGACCUGGCCACCGCCCAAAACGCGAGCCCUCUGGACAGACACGCUUCCUUGCUUGUCCUCAUUCCCAUGCUGUUUUGUGCAUUUUUCGCCCCUGAUCCAUCCUCCCACUGUGGUGCCUUCUGCCAGCCCUGCCAGCCUGCACUCUGCCAGCCCCGUCCAGCGGUACACGCCCCGCCCCCUCUCACACUUGUUUGUCACGGAAUGUUCCCUCCCGCUUCCUCACCUUAACUGAAGCCCAGCUCUGGCCCAAGGACAGGGGUUUCCCAGAGAGCAGGUUCUUUCUCCCCCAAAGACCAAAGAGUUGCUGGGGAGACCCCCCCCCCGCCGCCCGCUUUGCUUUGAGGCUCUUGCAGCCUGGCUUCCCCCCCUCCUCCUGAACUGCUCAGGUGCCUAUCAAACUCUUGAAAUGUUCUAUAAGUGUAAGGGUUUCUCAGUCUGGGUAAAAAAGAAUACACAAUGUUUCAAUAUUUUCACAUGGAUUACAUAUUGCAAUGGGAUAGCACUUGGGGUAUAUUGGGUACAACGAAUUAUCAGCAUUAAUUUCACCACUUUUUGUUUCUUCAGUGUGGCUACUGGAAAAUUCUAAAGGCCACAGAUGUCUCCUAUUUGUUGUAUCUCCUACUUCUCUAUUCCUAUUGACUAGCACUGCUCUGUGACCAUCAAGACCUGUGUGGAUCUCAGACUCUGGGCUCUAAAUCUUCUUUCAGCUCCGAUACAGGCUCAGGCUGCUUUUUAAUUAAAAAUACUUAAACUGCUUUUUUUUACAUAUUACAAAGUAAAACAUUUCCAUUAUAAAAUAUUAGAAAAUGCACAUUAUAAAACAUGAACAAAAAAGAACAGAAGCCCAUACAUAUGUAUAAAAGGACAUACUACUUUUUGGUAAUUUUUUUACACUUUCCAGAUGUGUUAUAAACAUCUCCCCGUGUCCUUACAUAUUCUUCUAUGAGAAUUUUAAAAAAAUGGUUGCCUAGUAUUUUCUUGUAAGGGUAUACCAUAAAUUAUUUUGCCAGUGUUUGUUGAUUGAGCAGUAUUUUUGAACUUUUCUAUUGUAAAUGUAGCAGAAUGACUGCUAAGAGGGAACUUAAAGUGGUUUGGGGAGAGUCACCCUUUUUUCUAGCUUCAAAGGAGCAAGUCAGUCACAGAGGAGCCCACCCGCUUAUUUCUCAUCACGCAUUGUCACAUAAUUUUUAGACAUAGAGUAUUCUGGGACAACCCAGAAGCGAGUGCUAUAAACCAAAGGAAACUGUUUCAGACUCAGGGUAAGUACUUCUAAAUUGGAUAACUACUAUCUCCUUUGGAGAUGGACUUUCAGGGGGUGAGAGUCUGGGUCUUUUCGUAGUGAGGUCAGCCCCUCUGCGCCCCCCGUGGAUCACUGCUGGGAGCCCAGCCCCCCUCCAUGGGCUUGAAGUCCUGGUGGCUGAGGAGGGAGACAGGUCUCAGCUCAGGGAGCCAGAUGAGGGAGAGAGCAGAUGUCCAGCCAACAGAUGUCCAGCAGGGAUUGUGGAGCAUGUGGACUGUCCUUAGAGAACCCCAGGGACACUUGGGGGCCACUCCAAAGCAGGCACUGUGGUCCUGCUGCUACCCAGAGAGAGACAGUCACCACUGACUCUCUGGACUAAAAAUGGCUGAGAUUUCAGCAGUGCUCGUCUGCUCCCAUCAGAGGCUGAAGUCAAGUCACUCGGGGAAACUCUCAAAGCUAAAGCUAUUCCUAAGCCGAAAGGGUGUCAAUGAUUUAACUAUACACGUAUCCAUGAAGACACAUAAUGUAACCACAAUUAAAUCAGAAUUUCCAGAGUCCGUAUUUCCAAUUCCAGAACUGUGUAAGAAGGGGUGUGCCUGGUUGUCUUCAGUGGAGACUUUCUAGGGUUCACAGUGUUUACUGCUGAAGUUCCAAGGCAGGUGAAAGCAGGAGUCAGACUGCCUGGGUUUGAAUCCAGAUCCACUGCUGGUGACUGUGGACAUGUUACUUAAUCUCUCUUAACUUCUUCCUGUGUUCAUCGUUGCCUUGUCGCGUUUGUACUCGUGGGGCCCCCACCUGGAACGCUCUCCAUCUCCACGUGGCUGACUCCACAUCAUCCGUGUCUCAGCUCAAUGGCCCCUCUUCAAGCAGCCUCCUCUGAAGACCCAAUCUCUUCAGCUCGCCUGGCAUUUCGAAUUGCAUCCUCUUGUUUUAUUUUCUCUGCAGUUCAUUUAUUUGAUUUCACAUCAUGGUCUGUCUCUCUGUGCGGGGUGUAAUCUCCUGAGGGCCGGCAGCUUUCGUGUCUUGUUCAACACCAACCCUCCAUGUCCAGAACUGAACCUGACACACGCUAGGGACUCAAGAAGUAUUGGUAGGAUCAGUGAAAGAAAGAUGGAGCGAAUGGUCUUGAUAAUGACCAUAUUCAAAGAAAGAUCAAGCCCACCCAGAGUUAAAAAGUGCCUUGAUGGAAGAAAGCACUUUGGUUUGAGCAACGAACAAUGGAAUUUGGAAUCAACAGGCUCUGAGGGCCUGCCCAUCUCUGAGUCAAUUUUCUUUAUCCUGAAAGAUCCUGGUUUGAAGGGCAUUUUCCCCGGAUGCAUGGAGUCCUAAAAAACUCAAAGGGGGUGACAGUUCGAGGAACAUAAAAGAACAAUGAUGAGCUUAGACGAGCAAGGCAAGGGCAGACUGUGGCGAAAACAAUUACUGAUGCGCCCUGUACAGCACAUGGAGGAAAAGGUUGCUACUCCUUCCUCGCCUGUGUCUGAAGCCAUGUACCUUGUGAGUCACUUGUGAAACGCUGCUCUCUCUCAGGAGCUUCCAGUCCUCUGCCUCCUGAUGCAGUCAGGCCUUUCCCUCUGAAAUUCAAUUAAAUCAGCCCUAAUGAGUGGCUAGGCAGAAAGGGAGCUCUUGUUUACAGAACACAAGGAAUAAUAACGAGCCAACAUCAAUUAGGACUGUGACUGCAAAUCCGAAACAUUGAUUCUGCACCUCAACAGUGAGCAAAUUUCUGCUUUCAGACACCAAGUCUCGCAGGCUUGAGAAAGACAGAGCCUCGUGGGCUGUCUCUACGGCCGUGAUGUUCCAGAGAAAUCCCACUAAAAUUUUCCUUUGUCCUCCUGGCCUGUGGCAGUUCUGCCCAUCCCCCUUGACUGUUUUUCUGGCUGUUGCUCCUAUUGAGUUUUCUGAAUAAACACAGGCCACCAAGUUUUAACCGCAAUGAUAAAAUACUUAGCAAAAAAAAAAAAAAAAAAAAAA
Molecule: non-coding RNA, 6245 nt
Organism: Sus scrofa (pig)
Lineage: Eukaryota; Metazoa; Chordata; Mammalia; Artiodactyla; Suidae
Source: RefSeq, a predicted model, not a curated record